Molecule: ribosomal RNA, 889 nt
Filed under: uncultured organism
Description: SSU rRNA
Rfam family: Bacterial small subunit ribosomal RNA
Source: RNAcentral
CGCUAGCUACAGGCUUAACACAUGCAAGUCGAGGGGCAGCAUGGUCUUAGCUUGCUAAGGCUGAUGGCGACCGGCGCACGGGUGAGUAACACGUAUCCAACCUGCCGUCUACUCUUGGCCAGCCUUCUGAAAGGAAGAUUAAUCCAGGAUGGGAUCAUGAGUUCACAUGUCCGCAUGAUUAAAGGUAUUUUCCGGUAGACGAUGGGGAUGCGUUCCAUUAGAUAGUAGGCGGGGUAACGGCCCACCUAGUCAACGAUGGAUAGGGGUUCUGAGAGGAAGGUCCCCCACAUUGGAACUGAGACACGGUCCAAACUCCUACGGGAGGCAGCAGUGAGGAAUAUUGGUCAAUGGGCGAUGGCCUGAACCAGCCAAGUAGCGUGAAGGAUGACUGCCCUAUGGGUUGUAAACUUCUUUUAUAAAGGAAUAAAGUCGGGUAUGCAUACCCGUUUGCAUGUACUUUAUGAAUAAGGAUCGGCUAACUCCGUGCCAGCAGCCGCGGUAAUACGGAGGAUCCGAGCGUUAUCCGGAUUUAUUGGGUUUAAAGGGAGCGUAGAUGGAUGUUUAAGUCAGUUGUGAAAGUUUGCGGCUCAACCGUAAAAUUGCAGUUGAUACUGGAUGUCUUGAGUGCAGUUGAGGCAGGCGGAAUUCGUGGUGUAGCGGUGAAAUGCUUAGAUAUCACGAAGAACUCCGAUUGCGAAGGCAGCCUGCUAAGCUGCAACUGACAUUGAGGCUCGAAAGUGUGGGUAUCAAACAGGAUUAGAUACCCUGGUAGUCCACACGGUAAACGAUGAAUACUCGCUGUUUGCGAUAUACGGCAAGCGGCCAAGCGAAAGCGUUAAGUAUUCCACCUGGGGAGUACGCCGGCAAACGUGAAACUCAAAGGAAUUGA